GUGAAUCAUCAAAUCUUUGAACGCAAAUUGCACUCCCUGGUAUUCCGGGGAGUAUGCCUGUUUGAGGGUCGUUAGAAUAUAAAAUCGAGGCUUGGCUCUUUUGUUGAGGGUGAUCGCGUCGGAAUUGAGCCGUCUUUCAAAUGUUAAUUCAUGUCAGAGUGGCUUCAAAUUAAUCCACCCGGUACGAUUAAAGCGUAUUUAAGAUCAACUUUGAUUAUGAACGCGCGAUGAUCGUACCAUCUUGUGUAGUCCGUUUGACUUUACGUCGUCA
This 271-nucleotide unclassified non-coding RNA is filed under the name Funneliformis mosseae. RNAcentral describes it as "partial contains 5.8S ribosomal RNA and internal transcribed spacer 2". The stretch from base 1 to 71 matches the Rfam family "5.8S ribosomal RNA", at positions 84 to 154 of the family's 154-position model. Lineage: Eukaryota; Fungi; Glomeromycota; Glomeromycetes; Glomerales; Glomeraceae. The record is from RNAcentral.